AUGGGGAAGAAAGAGCCAACACCGCCGAUGCCCACGGGCCACUUCAGUCAGGCGCCUUCCAUUCUUCCUCCCUUAGGAUUUCCAAUCCAAGGUGAGCGUUUUACUAAAAUUGUAGCCAGUCCAUACUACAUGCUCCCUGAGGUAUUAAAGCACAACUAUGGCCCUGAAAUCGAUGUCUGGAUUGUAGGAGUUAUACUUUACAUACUUCUUUGUGGUGUGCAAACAUUUUUGGAAGAUUCUGAACAGGGAGUAGCACAAGCAAUUAUGUGCUCUGUGGUAGAUUUCAAAAGCGACCCAAGGCCCAGGGUAUCUGAGCCUGCUAAAGACUUUGUUCGGCAGAUGCUGGAUCGAAAUCCAAUCACACGGUUUACUGCAACACAAGUAUUCAGGGCCACCUUACUCGUGUGCCCUCAGGCUGAGGAGACCUUUCUAAGUGUACAUGGAGGAUGUGAAAGCGAUGACAGAGGAGCUUGCUGUAGCUUCUUGCCUGCUCCGGGAAUCCCUUCCCUCCUGACGAAGCACGAUGCCAUGUCCUAG
Molecule: ribosomal RNA, 537 nt
Filed under: Triticum aestivum (bread wheat)
Lineage: Eukaryota; Viridiplantae; Streptophyta; Magnoliopsida; Poales; Poaceae
Description: partial small subunit ribosomal RNA
Source: RNAcentral